AAGAUUUUAAGUUAAAAAAACUAAUAGCCUUCAAAGCUUUAAAUAAAAUUUAAUUUUUUAAAUCUUA
This 67-nucleotide transfer RNA is filed under the name Taxoblenus sp. RNAcentral describes it as "tRNA-Trp". Lineage: Eukaryota; Metazoa; Arthropoda; Insecta; Hymenoptera; Tenthredinidae. The record is from RNAcentral.